UCCCUUGUAGCUCAGUCGGUAAAGAAUCUGCCUGCAGUGUAGGAGACCCGGGUUCGAUCCCUGGGUUGGGAA
RNAcentral lists this transfer RNA (72 nucleotides) under Odocoileus virginianus texanus. It matches the Rfam family "tRNA". Rfam says of the family: Transfer RNA (tRNA) molecules are approximately 80 nucleotides in length. The record is from Rfam by way of RNAcentral. RNAcentral also lists the same sequence under 6 other names. Lineage: Eukaryota; Metazoa; Chordata; Mammalia; Artiodactyla; Cervidae.